Molecule: ribosomal RNA, 484 nt
Filed under: uncultured bacterium
Lineage: Bacteria
Description: bacterial SSU rRNA
Rfam family: Bacterial small subunit ribosomal RNA
Source: RNAcentral
GUUUGAUCAUGGCUCAGAAUCAACGCUGGCGGCGUGCCUCAGACAUGCAAGUCGAACGAUUAAAGCUCUCUUCGGAGAGUGCAUAGAGUGGCGCACGGGUGAGUAACACGUAAGUAAUCUACCUUCGAGUGGGGAAUAACGUCCGGAAACGGGCGCUAAUACCGCAUAAUGCAGCGGCAUCGCAAGAUGACAGUUGUUAAAGGAGCAAUCCGCUUGAAGAGGAGCUUGCGGCAGAUUAGCUAGUUGGUAGGGUAAUGGCCUACCAAGGCUACGAUCUGUAACCGGUCUUAGAGGACGGUCGGUCACACUGACACUGAAUAACGGGUCAGACUCUUACGGGAGGCAGCAGUCGGGAAUUUUGGGCAAUGGGGGAAACCCUGACCCAGCAACGCCGCGUGAAGGAUGAAGUAUUUCGGUAUGUAAACUUCGAAAGAAUAGGAAGAAUUAAUGACGGUACUAUUUAUAAGGUCCGGCUAACUACGUG